RNAcentral lists this ribosomal RNA (253 nucleotides) under uncultured bacterium. RNAcentral's name for it is "partial 16S ribosomal RNA". It matches the Rfam family "Bacterial small subunit ribosomal RNA", at positions 524 to 776 of the family's 1533-position model. The record is from RNAcentral.
UACGUAGGUGGCAAGCGUUGUCCGGAAUUAUUGGGCGUAAAGCGCGCGCAGGCGGUCCUUUAAGUCUGAUGUGAAAGCCCACGGCUCAACCGUGGAAGGUCAUUGGAAACUGGAGGACUUGAGUACAGAAGAGGAAAGCGGAAUUCCACGUGUAGCGGUGAAAUGCGUAGGGAUGUGGAGGAACACCAGUGGCGAAGGCGGCUUUCUGGUCUGUAACUGACGCUGAGGCGCGAAAGCGUGGGGAGCAAACAGG